This 245-nucleotide unclassified non-coding RNA is filed under the name plant metagenome. RNAcentral's name for it is "partial contains small subunit ribosomal RNA, internal transcribed spacer 1, and 5.8S ribosomal RNA". The stretch from base 1 to 54 matches the Rfam family "Eukaryotic small subunit ribosomal RNA", at positions 1778 to 1831 of the family's 1831-position model. The record is from RNAcentral.
GGAAGUAACAGUCGUAACAAGGUUUCCGUAGGUGAACCUGCGGAAGGAUCAUUAAAGAGAAUAUGCCCUUCGGGGUAGAUCUCCCACCCUUUGUUUAUAUUACCUUUGUUGCUUUGGCAGGCCCGUCCUCGGACCACCGGCUUCGGCUGGUCAGUGCUUGCCAGAGGACCCAAAACUCUUAUUAUUAAUGUCGUCUGAGUACUAUAUAAUAGUUAAAACUUUCAACAACGGAUCUCUUGGUUCUG